RNAcentral lists this ribosomal RNA (515 nucleotides) under uncultured bacterium. Its description in RNAcentral is "partial 16S ribosomal RNA". It matches the Rfam family "Bacterial small subunit ribosomal RNA", at positions 28 to 523 of the family's 1533-position model. The record is from RNAcentral.
GAUGAACGCUGGCGGCGUGCCUAAUACAUGCAAGUCGAGCGAAUGGAUUAAGAGCUUGCUCUUAUGAAGUUAGCGGCGGACGGGUGAGUAACACGUGGGUAACCUGCCCAUAAGACUGGGAUAACUCCGGGAAACCGGGGCUAAUACCGGAUAACAUUUUGAACCGCAUGGUUCGAAGUUGAAAGGCGGCUUCGGCUGUCACUUAUGGAUGGACCCGCGUCGCAUUAGCUAGUUGGUGAGGUAACGGCUCACCAAGGCAACGAUGCGUAGCCGCCCUGGGAGGGUGAUCGGACACACUGGGACUGGGACACGGCCCAGACUCCUACGGGAGGCAGCAGUAGGGAAUCUUCCGCAAUGGACGAAAGUCUGACGGAGCAACGCCGCGUGAGUGAUGAAGGCUUUCGGGUCGUAAAACUCUGUUGUUAGGGAAGAACAAGUGCUAGUUGAAUAAGCUGACACCUUGACGGUACCUAACCAGAAAGCCACGGCUAACUACGUGCCAGCCGCCGCCGUAA